GAUGAACGCUAGCGGCAGGCCUAAUACAUGCAGGACGAACGGUAAGGUUUUUAGCAAUAAGAAUCCUAGAGUGUCGUAAGGGUGCGUAACACGUAUGCAAUCUGCCCUCAACAGGAGGAUAGCUCCCCGAAAGGGGAAUCAACACUCCGUAAGAUCACAUGAUGGCAUCAUUGAGUGAUUAAAACUACGGUGGUUGAGGAUGAGCAUGCGUACUAUUAGCUAGAUGGUAAGGUAACGGCUUACCAUGGCAACGAUAGGUAGGGGUCCUGAGAGGGAGAUCCCCCACACUGGUACUGAGACACGGACCAGACUCCUACGGGAGGCAGCAGUGAGGAAUAUUGGACAAUGGGCGCAAGCCUGAUCCAGCCAUGCCGCGUGCAGGAAGAAGCAUCUAUGGUGUGUAAACUGCUUUUGUACGGGAAGAAACACUCCUUCGUGAAGGAGCUUGACGGUACCGUAAGAAUAAGGAUCGGCUAACUCCGUGCCAGCCGCCGCAGUAA
This 500-nucleotide ribosomal RNA is filed under the name uncultured bacterium. RNAcentral describes it as "partial 16S ribosomal RNA". It matches the Rfam family "Bacterial small subunit ribosomal RNA", at positions 28 to 523 of the family's 1533-position model. The record is from RNAcentral.